GACGAACGCUGGCGGCGUGCUUAACACAUGCAAGUCGAGCGGUAAGGCCCUUUCGGGGGUACACGAGCGGCGAACGGGUGAGUAACACGUGGGUGACCUGCCCUCAGCUCUGGGAUAAGCCUGGGAAACCGGGUCUAAUACCGGAUAUGACUCCAUGACGCAUGUUGUGGGGUGGAAAGUCUUGUGCGGCUGAGGAUGGGCCCGCGGCCUAUCAGCUUGUUGGUGGGGUGANGGCCUACCAAGGCGACGACGGGUAGCCGGCCUGAGAGGGCGACCGGCCACACUGGGACUGAGACACGGCCCAGACUCCUACGGGAGGCAGCAGUGGGGAAUCUUGCGCAAUGGGCGAAAGCCUGACGCAGCGACGCCGCGUGAGGGAUGACGGCC
This 387-nucleotide ribosomal RNA is filed under the name uncultured bacterium. Its description in RNAcentral is "bacterial SSU rRNA". It matches the Rfam family "Bacterial small subunit ribosomal RNA", at positions 28 to 416 of the family's 1533-position model. The record is from RNAcentral.